ACAGAACACCCUGAGCACAUCUUGUAACAGGACAGCGGCGAUGGAGUUUAGUCCGGAAGAGAGAGUACUGCAAAGAAACCAUAUACACAAUAGUUCAUCAGGUCAUUCAGUUAAAGUACUGUUUCAGAACUGCGCCCUAAAUGGUUAUCCUGUAGUUACCUGAGAGCACCUGAAAAGAGACAGGACACAAAAAGUCCAGGAAUUCCGGGUAUGUGUCCCAGGACGUCCAACACAAAAAGCGGGAGUAACUACGGAAACAAAAGAGAGAUCUUUUUAAAGGAGACCCAUACAGUCUGAAAGUGCAAACAAUAAGUCAAUAAAGACACUCAGAAGGACAAAUUAUAUCUUACUCUACAAAGUUGAUUCGGCCGGUGGCGACAGAAC
Molecule: long non-coding RNA, 384 nt
Organism: Magallana angulata
Lineage: Eukaryota; Metazoa; Mollusca; Bivalvia; Ostreida; Ostreidae
Exons: 3
Source: RefSeq, a predicted model, not a curated record